This 719-nucleotide ribosomal RNA is filed under the name Dietzia sp. CPA-97. RNAcentral's name for it is "bacterial SSU rRNA". It matches the Rfam family "Bacterial small subunit ribosomal RNA", at positions 56 to 791 of the family's 1533-position model. Lineage: Bacteria; Bacillati; Actinomycetota; Actinomycetes; Mycobacteriales; Dietziaceae. The record is from RNAcentral.
UGCAAGUCGAACGGUAAGGCCCCUUCGGGGGUACACGAGUGGCGAACGGGUGAGUAACACGUGGGUAAUCUGCCCUGCACUUCGGGAUAAGCCUGGGAAACUGGGUCUAAUACCGGAUAUGAGCUCCUGCCGCAUGGUGGGGGUUGGAAAGUUUUUCGGUGCAGGAUGUGCCCGCGGCCUAUCAGCUUGUUGGUGGGGUAAUGGCCUACCAAGGCGACGACGGGUAGCCGGCCUGAGAGGGUGAUCGGCCACACUGGGACUGAGACACGGCCCAGACUCCUACGGGAGGCAGCAGUGGGGAAUAUUGCACAAUGGGCGGAAGCCUGAUGCAGCGACGCCGCGUGGGGGAUGACGGUCUUCGGAUUGUAAACUCCUUUCAGUAGGGACGAAGCGAGAGUGACGGUACCUGCAGAAGAAGCACCGGCCAACUACGUGCCAGCAGCCGCGGUAAUACGUAGGGUGCAAGCGUUGUCCGGAAUUACUGGGCGUAAAGAGCUCGUAGGCGGUUUGUCACGUCGUCUGUGAAAUCCUCCAGCUCAACUGGGGGCGUGCAGGCGAUACGGGCAGACUUGAGUACUACAGGGGAGACUGGAAUUCCUGGUGUAGCGGUGAAAUGCGCAGAUAUCAGGAGGAACACCGGUGGCGAAGGCGGGUCUCUGGGUAGUAACUGACGCUGAGGAGCGAAAGCAUGGGGAGCAAACAGGAUUAGAUACCCUGGU